RNAcentral lists this ribosomal RNA (265 nucleotides) under uncultured archaeon. Its description in RNAcentral is "partial 16S ribosomal RNA". It matches the Rfam family "Archaeal small subunit ribosomal RNA", at positions 717 to 982 of the family's 1478-position model. The record is from RNAcentral.
ACACGACUACAUUAGAUACCCCGGUAGUCCUAGCCGUAAACGAUACUCGCUAGGUGUCGGCCACGGUGCGACCGUUGUCGGUGCCGUAGGGAAGCCGUGAAGCGAGCCACCUGGGAAGUACGGCCGCAAGGCUGGAACUUAAAGGAAUUGGCGGGGGAGCACAACGACGGGUGGAGCUUGCGGUUUAAUUGGAUUCAACGCCGGAAAUCUUACCGGGACCGACAGCAACAUGAAGGCCAAGCUGAAGACUUUGCCGGAUUAGCUG